Molecule: non-coding RNA, 374 nt
Organism: Momordica charantia (bitter melon)
Lineage: Eukaryota; Viridiplantae; Streptophyta; Magnoliopsida; Cucurbitales; Cucurbitaceae
Source: RefSeq, a predicted model, not a curated record
AACAUGGGACGUUCCAGAUUCUAAGGUUAUUUUCGGAGAAGACGAUGUGGGGAUUGGAGAAAACUCUGGCCGCCCCACUGUUUUAGGAGAUUCAAUCUGAGGCACAUGUGAGGUUUCCUUCAUCACCUCGAGCCUCGUCUUCUCGCCAAGAAUCCUGCAAAAAAAACACGUUGGGAAAUAAUUGAUCGUGAUCUCCCCAUAUUAUCAAAACCUCCUGCACAUCAAUUCGUUCGCUUAUCAAGUUAGGUAAAAACAUCAAUCUCUUUUAAAAUAACCUUUUUUUUUUGUUAAAUAUGGUUAUCUUUCAACGAAUGUCAACGAUGUAAAAUUAUCAGUCACGUUACCUUUUAAUUUGAUAUUAAAGAAGAGAAAUG